This 454-nucleotide ribosomal RNA is filed under the name uncultured bacterium. RNAcentral describes it as "bacterial SSU rRNA". It matches the Rfam family "Bacterial small subunit ribosomal RNA", at positions 917 to 1382 of the family's 1533-position model. The record is from RNAcentral.
GGGCCCGCACAAGCAGCGGAGCGUGUGGUUUAAUUCGAUGCAACACGAAGAACCUUACCAGGGCUUGACAUGUUGGAAGUAGUGAACCGAAAGGGGAACGACCUGUUAAGUCAGGAGCCAUCACAGGUGCUGCAUGGCUGUCGUCAGCUCGUGCCGUGAGGUGUCGGGUUAAGUCCCAUAACGAGCGCAACCCCUGUUGCCAGUUAAUUUCUCUGGCGAGACUGCCCCGCAAAACGGGGAGGAAGGCGGGGAUGAUGUCAAGUCAGUAUGGCCCUUAUGCCCUGGGCUACACACACGCUACAAUGGGUGGUACAGUAGGUUGCAAUGGAGCGAUCCGGAGCUAAUCCAUAAAACCAUCCUCAGUUCGGAUUGUAGGCUGAAAUUCGCCUGCAUGAAGUCGGAGUUGCUAGUAACCGCGUAUCAGCAUGGCGCGGUGAAUACGUUCUCGGGCCUU